UGNGGGUGCUACCAUGCANGUCGAGCGAUCUCUUCGGAGAGAGCGGCGGACGGGUGAGUAACGCGUGGGUAACCUGCCCUGUACACACGGAUAACAUACCGAAAGGUAUACUAAUACGGGAUAACAUACGAAAGUCGCAUGGCUUUUGUAUCAAAGCUCCGGCGGUACAGGAUGGACCCGCGUCUGAUUAGCUAGUUGGUAAGGUAAUGGCUUACCAAGGCAACGAUCAGUAGCCGACCUGAGAGGGUGAUCGGCCACACUGGAACUGAGACACGGUCCAGACUCCUACGGGAGGCAGCAGUGGGGAAUAUUGCACAAUGGGCGAAAGCCUGAUGCAGCAACGCCGCGUGAGCGAUGAAGGCCUUCGGGUCGUAAAGCUCUGUCCUCAAGGAAGAUAAUGACGGUACUUGAGGAGGAAGCCCCGGCUAACUACGUGCCAGCAGCCGCGGUAAUACGUAGGGGGCUAGCGUUAUCCGGAAUUACUGGGCGUAAAGGGUGCGUAGGUGGUUUUUUAAGUCAGAAGUGAAAGGCUACGGCUCAACCGUAGUAAGCUUUUGAAACUAGAGAACUUGAGUGCAGGAGAGGAGAGUAGAAUUCCUAGUGUAGCGGUGAAAUGCGUAGAUAUUAGGAGGAAUACCAGUAGCGAAGGCGGCUCUCUGGACUGUAACUGACACUGAGGCACGAAAGCGUGGGGAGCAAACAGGAUUAGAUACCCUGGUAGUCCACGCCGUAAACGAUGAGUACUAGGUGUCGGGGGUACCCCCCUCGGUGCCGCAGCUAACCAUAAGACUCCCCUGAAGCCCC
Molecule: ribosomal RNA, 804 nt
Filed under: Clostridium sp. NB 60
Lineage: Bacteria; Bacillati; Bacillota; Clostridia; Eubacteriales; Clostridiaceae
Description: bacterial SSU rRNA
Rfam family: Bacterial small subunit ribosomal RNA
Source: RNAcentral